AAGUGUCAGGUCCUGUGAUGGAAGAAAAUACUGGGUCAACCAUGUAGCACGUAUUAAUGGAGAGUGAUGCAGAUGAUGAUGCUUAAUUACCUUUGAUUUCCAAUUGUACAUCCUUUUAUUCGUUCUUUUAAACCUAUUCUUAUUACGGAGGCAGAACUUUGGUUAAUUCUAUCAAAAUUUCGGAAUUCUUCUACUUUCAUUUUGAAAGGUCUUGAUAACUGAAGUUAAGCAGCAGCAGAAGUGCUGGAAAGCAGGGGGGGGCUGCUGCAAUAAUGUGGCAUCUUAGGCGGUUGCCACAGGUCAGUUUUCUCGGUGUAUUGAUGUGGAAAACUUGUGAUAAGAACUUUUGUUUAAGCUAUUGUUACUCUAUCCAAGAAAUAUGGUACUACUCAUGCAGGUCAUUCCAUGUUCUUGCAAUGAUAGAAUAUGCUGUUAAGCUUCUCCCAUUUUUAAUGCCAUGCAGUCUGGUUGUUGAAUUUAAGGAUCUUUCGCUUAUGUUGGAUGGGUUACACCUUAGGCAGAGCCUGAAGAGGGCUUCGGAUUACAUCAUUGUACCAGCACUGUUGAGAUUAUAGAAUAAGACAGGGGCACAAAAAUUAUGUUGGCUUUCUGGGAUAUAGUGCUGUUGAUAUGCUCUCUCUUAACUAUAGUUGGUGUGGUUCGCGGUGGUUUUAGGUCGUUCUAGUUGGAUCCGUUUUGCUUCUCACCAUCUUGCAUUCCUUUUUUGGAACCGGUUUCUUUUUCUUUUCUUUUUUUUUCUCCGUACCUAGUGCUUUUUGGUUGGAUCUUUGGUGCAUGAGUGGCUUUUAGUUGAUUAUUCUUUGGGUUAUGAAGUAAUUCUUUUGUGCAAUUGAAGCUGAUUUUAUCAGUCAGUUAUUAUUAACCUGUCAGUAGGAUAUUUAGUCUGUGUAGCUCCAUUAUAUUAGAAGUUGCUAUUUCGCAUGGUUUAGGAUUCUCAAUCUGAUGAUGAAAUGCUUUACGGCUUACACUUGCAAGUACCACCAAGUCAUUCACAUUUUUUCUUCUGAAAUACUUUUGGGAAUUGAACGCCCACAGUGGAGGAAGCUAUUCUAUCCGUGAUGCUGCUCUGAAAAUGCCUCCUUGGCCGGAUGUCUGUGCUCCAAACAGUUGAAUCAUGCUAUCUCUAUUGUCCCAACACAAAAAAGAGGUUGGUACUUGCAAGUGUAAGCUGUAAAGCAUUAGAAUACCUUUGCAUAUUAGAAUACCUAUAAAUUUCAUCUUUAAUUUUGUAAACCGUGGAAAGUUGCAAACUGUGUUUUUAUCCAAUGAAUCUGUUUUUUUAUCCGAAAACAGGUAAUACAUAUCCGAGAAAGAAAAAACGGGCAAUACUCUUUUUUUUCUUUGCAAAAGUAUGUUGGAAUACCCUUUUUUUGUUUUUUAAUCAUGGAAUAUCGACUUGCGGAAAAAUCUUUGUUGUUGGACGGAGAUUUGAGAUGGGUUUCUUCGGUACCAUAUUAGGUUUUUCUGGUUUUGAUUUCUAUCGGUCUUGUUGCUGGAUAUUUCCUCUUCAUCUAUUUCCAACCCAGCGAUGUCUCCCCCCCCCCCCUCAAAUAUAUAUUUAUUUAUGUGAGAUUUAAUAUUCUAGAGGCUUUCAUUAUAUUGGAUUGGGUUGAUAUAGUCAAUGCUCACAUAAUUUAUGGUCCUGGAAUUGUUGAUGGAUUGAAAUAUUGGAUUGGGCUGAUAUAGUCUUGCAGAAAUUGAAUUUUUCAUACAUGCUGAGUCUGAUAUUAAUUUAAUUUGCCAAACAAUCUUUCUUUUUUUCUUUUUUAAUUGGCCAAAAAUGGCUUGUAUGAAAAACUAACCAUAUUGCCAUGAUUCAUAAUGUGAUUUCUUGAAUUUUAUUUUUGGGUGUUUUCAACCCAUUGAUACCUCCUCGAUGUACAUGAUCGUCGAAGAAAGCAUUUGGCAACACAGAGAUGGAGAAGGAGUACAUAUCAAAUGGUUCAUCAGAUUCAAGUAUUAUGCUAUCAUAUCAAAUGGAUGUGUUUGGCCUGGAGGAGCACUAUAAUUUUGUGAUCCCAAUUUGAUCAAAUAGAUAUGUUUCGAAUUAUGAGUAUAAAAUUAGUUGAAGAGGUACUGCAUGUGUGGUUGGAUCAUAAUGACCUUCCUAUAAUAAGAUGAUUGUUUUAAUUUAAAGUACAUAAUUUUUUAUUGAACUUAAAGUGUUGGUUGGACUUUCUUAUUGAUUACUCUUUUGAGAUUGAUUUUUCCUCUCC
Molecule: long non-coding RNA, 2237 nt
Organism: Juglans microcarpa x Juglans regia
Lineage: Eukaryota; Viridiplantae; Streptophyta; Magnoliopsida; Fagales; Juglandaceae
Exons: 2
Source: RefSeq, a predicted model, not a curated record